RNAcentral lists this ribosomal RNA (253 nucleotides) under uncultured bacterium. RNAcentral describes it as "partial 16S ribosomal RNA". It matches the Rfam family "Bacterial small subunit ribosomal RNA", at positions 524 to 776 of the family's 1533-position model. The record is from RNAcentral.
UACGAAGGGGGCUAGCGUUGCUCGGAAUUACUGGGCGUAAAGGGUGCGUAGGCGGGUCUUUAAGUCAGAGGUGAAAUCCUGGAGCUCAACUCCAGAACUGCCUUUGAUACUGAGGAUCUUGAGUUCGGGAGAGGUGAGUGGAACUGCGAGUGUAGAGGUGAAAUUCGUAGAUAUUCGCAAGAACACCAGUGGCGAAGGCGGCUCACUGGCCCGGUACUGACGCUGAGGUGCGAAAGCGUGGGGAGCAAACAGG